Molecule: long non-coding RNA, 760 nt
Filed under: Physcomitrium patens
Lineage: Eukaryota; Viridiplantae; Streptophyta; Bryopsida; Funariales; Funariaceae
Description: long non-coding RNA (PPAT_LNC005083)
Source: RNAcentral
CAUUGGUCAAAAUUUUAUACUACAUUAACAAGGUCUGCAAAAAAAACAAUUGAGACAUUUAAAACAAAUAAUUAUCUUAAUCCUUCAUAAAUCUAACUCUUUCUUUCUUGUAAACACAAAAUAUAACAUGAUUAGUGUGUGAUAAAGAGAGGCCAAUAUCACAAUAUCUAUCAUAACAUGCUCAACAAACAUGUGAUAGAAUCCUUCACCAUCUAACACACCAAAAUAACACAAAUUUACAAAACACAUCAAAAGAUAGUCAGCUAAAAUCCCAGCUAUGAAAUCACAAAUCCGAUGAAUUUUGCCGAGAAACAAACAGGAGCAAUGUAGAAGCAAAAUGGGACAUGUGAGCAACAAUUGAAUAGAGAGCUAUGGUGAGGGGCACUUUGCAAGUCCCUGGGUAACAAGAGCCUUGAUGCCAUGGAUCCAGAAGAAAAUGGUCUCUGCAACAACAACAGCAACCUCACACUCACGCACACUAUUGCAACACUUCCACUCAGCCUCACAAAACAAACAUACAUACAAUCACACAAACAUGCACACAAACUAACAGAUAAACAGAUGAACAAACAAACCCACACUACACCAGCAAUGAGGAACAGCAAGAGCGAUGGGCGUUGCUGGAGCUGGUCACCAGCAUAAGUCGAUAGGAGGGGGAGAGAGAGCUCAUAAUGUGUUGCAGUGUGUGUGUGUGUAUGUGUGUGUACCUAGAGAGUUUGUGGCUUCAUUGCAGGACUGGUUGAGAGAGAGCGGCACCGGG